This 73-nucleotide transfer RNA is filed under the name bacterium. RNAcentral describes it as "tRNA-Lys". It matches the Rfam family "tRNA". From Rfam's summary of the family: Transfer RNA (tRNA) molecules are approximately 80 nucleotides in length. Their secondary structure includes four short double-helical elements and three loops (D, anti-codon, and T loops). Further hydrogen bonds mediate the characteristic L-shaped molecular structure. tRNAs have two regions of fundamental functional importance: the anti-codon, which is responsible for specific mRNA codon recognition, and the 3' end, to which the tRNAs corresponding amino acid is attached (by aminoacyl-tRNA synthetases). tRNAs cope with the degeneracy of the genetic code in two manners: having more than one tRNA (with a specific anti-codon) for a particular amino acid; and 'wobble' base-pairing, i.e. permitting non-standard base-pairing at the 3rd anti-codon position. RNAcentral also lists the same sequence under 6 other names. The record is from RNAcentral.
GCGCCCAUAGCUCAACUGGCAGAGCAGCGGACUCUUAAUCCGGAGGUUCUAGGUUCGAUUCCUAGUGGGCGCA